ACACUCCUACGGGAGGCAGCAGUGGGGAAUAUUGGACAAUGGGCGCAAGCCUGAUCCAGCCAUGCCGCGUGAGUGAUGAAGGCCCUAGGGUUGUAAAGCUCUUUCACCGGUGAAGAUAAUGACGGUAACCGGAGAAGAAGCCCCGGCUAACUUCGUGCCAGCAGCCGCGGUAAUACGAAGGGGGCUAGCGUUGUUCGGAUUUACUGGGCGUAAAGCGCACGUAGGCGGACUAUUAAGUCAGGGGUGAAAUCCCGGGGCUCAACCCCGGAACUGCCUUUGAUACUGGUAGUCUUGUGUUCGAGAGAGGUGAGUGGAAUUCCGAGUGUAGAGGUGAAAUUCGUAGAUAUUCGGAGGAACACCAGUGGCGAAGGCGGCUCACUGGCUCGAUACUGACGCUGAGGUGCGAAAGCGUGGGGAGCAAACAGGAUUAGAUACCCUUGUAGUCCCAUGAU
This 452-nucleotide ribosomal RNA is filed under the name uncultured organism. RNAcentral's name for it is "partial 16S ribosomal RNA". It matches the Rfam family "Bacterial small subunit ribosomal RNA", at positions 333 to 801 of the family's 1533-position model. The record is from RNAcentral.